ACCCCAUUUCUUCAUUCCCCCUCUAUCAAAAACCCCCAAAUCGCUGCUCCCUUGCCGCCGCCCUCCCUAACCCUAACCCUAACGCCAGCCAUGUUGCGCCUCUCUUCAUCACUCCUCCCCGUGCUCGCUCCGCCGCCGCCCUCUCGCGGUCCUACGGCCUGAUCCCGAUGGUGAUCGCGCACACCUCCCAGAGCGAGAGCGCCUACGACAUCUUCGCCCAACUCCUGAAGGAGCGCGUGGUCUGCAUCAACGUCCCCAUCUUUGACGACACGACCGCCAUCGUCGUGGCCCAGCUCCUCUUCCUCGAGUCGGAGAACCCUCCAAGCCCCUCUUCAUAAUAGCGCUUGAUUUCCUUUGAACCAUAACCCUAAUUCCCUAUGAAGAAAUUCCCAAUUUCUUCCAGGUUACCUCAAAACCCAUACCCUAACUACUGAAAUCCCUAGAUAUCAACAAAAACCCCAUCAGAAACAAAACCCUAGUGCUGUUAUCUGUUCCGACCUCGUCGGCGCCGGAGAUUAUUAAGAUGGGAAGAAAGAUCGGAUUGAACCGCGAGAUCCUGAUCAAAGUCACCCAAACCCCUGAUGGUGUGCUUAUUUAUGGAGAGCUAAGUGGGUCAGCGAGACGAGAGCUUAUGAUUUGAAAGAUGGAAGCAUUCUGUUCCGUGAGCUCAGGGAUUUCUUGCUACGCCGUAAACUUUUGUGUUGGAGGAGAUGUAUAUGCAUUUUGGUUCUCAAUUUUGCGAAGAGCUGCAGCGACAAUAUUUUCCUUCAUCAAUGGUAAAACCUCAAGGACCACCGAGAUAAGGAUCACUUUCCUUCAUGAUGCUGACUGAAAGGAGAUUGGAUAGAUCCAUUAAGGAUGUCUGAGUUAGAGUGACAAGUGAAAGUUAUGCAAGAAUUUUUUUUAGGCAAUCACCUUCAUUGACUCCUCAAACUCGAGAACAUGUGCAAGACUAGGCUAUCCAUGCAAGAUUAG
Molecule: long non-coding RNA, 975 nt
Organism: Asparagus officinalis (garden asparagus)
Lineage: Eukaryota; Viridiplantae; Streptophyta; Magnoliopsida; Asparagales; Asparagaceae
Exons: 4
Source: RefSeq, a predicted model, not a curated record